This 65-nucleotide small RNA is filed under the name Muribacter muris. RNAcentral describes it as "Actinobacillus muris int-alpA RNA". It matches the Rfam family "int-alpA RNA". Rfam says of the family: Acidobacteria (1 example), Planctomycetes (1 example), Proteobacteria. Environment (Lake Washington) The record is from Rfam by way of RNAcentral. Lineage: Bacteria; Pseudomonadati; Pseudomonadota; Gammaproteobacteria; Pasteurellales; Pasteurellaceae.
AACCCGCCUAGGCUGAUCACCGAAAACGAGAACCUUACUUGCUGGCGGGUUUUCUUUCAUAAGGA